UACGUAGGGGGCAAGCGUUGUCCGGAAUCAUUGGGCGUAAAGAGCGUGUAGGCGGCCAGAUAAGUCCGCUGUGAAAUCUCGAGGCUCAACUUCGAGCUGUCGGUGGAAACUGUCUGGCUAGAGUCCGGAAGAGGAGAAUGGAAUUCCUGGUGUAGCGGUGAAAUGCGCAGAUAUCAGGAAGAACACCUAUGGCGAAGGCAGCUCUCUGGGACGGUACUGACGCUGAGACGCGAAAGCGUGGGGAGCAAACGGG
Molecule: ribosomal RNA, 253 nt
Filed under: uncultured bacterium
Lineage: Bacteria
Description: partial 16S ribosomal RNA
Rfam family: Bacterial small subunit ribosomal RNA
Source: RNAcentral